UAACCUGCUAAAUAGUUACGUCAUUUCCGAAUGACGGCGAACUUCUUAGAGGGACUAUCGGAUUUAAACCGAUGGAAGUUUGAGGCAAUAACAGGUCUGUGAUGCCCUUAGAUGUUCUGGGCCGCACGCGCGCUACACUGACGAAGUCAGCGAGUAUUUUCCUUCACCGGAAGGUGUGGGUAAUCUUGUGAAACUUCGUCGUGCUGGGGAUAGAUCAUUGCAAUUAUUGAUCUUCAACGAGGAAUUCCUAGUAAGCGCAAGUCAUCAGCUUGCGUUGAUUACGUCCCUGCCCUUUGUACACACCGCCCGUCGCU
RNAcentral lists this ribosomal RNA (314 nucleotides) under uncultured eukaryote. RNAcentral describes it as "SSU rRNA". It matches the Rfam family "Eukaryotic small subunit ribosomal RNA", at positions 1344 to 1680 of the family's 1831-position model. The record is from RNAcentral.